This 194-nucleotide unclassified non-coding RNA is filed under the name uncultured fungus. RNAcentral's name for it is "sequence contains ITS1". The record is from RNAcentral. Lineage: Eukaryota; Fungi.
UUAAUAAUUUUAUAGGGCUCAGACAACAUAAUAAAGAGUUUGUGGAUUCUCUGGCAAGCACUGACCAGCCUAAGCCAGUGGCCGUUAGACGGGCCUGCCAAAGCAACAAUGGUGUGUGUAAACAAUGGGUGGGAGAUAUACCCAUAAAGGGCAUGUUCUCGGUAAUGAUCCUUCCGCAGGUUCACCUACGGAAA